Molecule: long non-coding RNA, 674 nt
Filed under: Vigna radiata
Lineage: Eukaryota; Viridiplantae; Streptophyta; Magnoliopsida; Fabales; Fabaceae
Description: long non-coding RNA (VRAD_LNC011122)
Source: RNAcentral
AGGGGAACAAAAUGUUUACAAAGACAUAGAAAGAUGUGGAAAGCAGUAAAAAGUGUUUAGAAAGGGUGAACAAAGAUGUAGAAAGGGUGUACAAAGGGUGUACAAAAAGUGCACAAAGGGUAUCAAAAUGGUGUAUAAAGGGUGUUCAAAAGGAGUACACCUAUUCUGCAUCGUUUUACAAAAUAUGUAAAAAGGUUGACUUUGCAUGAUGUUAUCAGAAACAAUAAUGCAAUGCUGCAAGAGAGAAAAAGGAGAGGAGCCGCAAGAGAGAAAAAGUAUCGGUCAUUUUUCCGAAAAGUCCUGGCUCAGCCCAGACCAGGCAGGCGAACGGGUAGCGGCCCUUUUCGAAAGUCCUGGCUCAGCCCAGACCAGGCAGGCGGACGUGUAGUGGGCCUUUUCGAAAGUCCUGGCUCAGCCCAGACCAGGCAGGCGGACUUGUUGCGGCCCUUUAUUCGAAUUUUCCCAUUUCAUGCCUAGGAUCAGAAUCCUGUGGUGUUAUCCCAUGCUAAUGUAUUCAGAGCGUAAGCUUGCUUUGAGCUCCUAAGUCAUCCCUUUGAUGAUCAAGAUGAGCCUAAUCGAUCACAACAAUAAGAUCUAUAUAUCCAUUCGAUCAAUUUCUAGUUUAGAGCAAGUAAGUUUCGAUCCCUUUUUUCUCUUUCGUUCUUAGUUUGAGG